GGAAUUUUCCGCAAUGGGCGAAAGCCUGACGGAGCAACGCCGCGUGAGGGAUGAAGGCCUCUGGGCUGUAAACCUCUUUUCUCAAGGAAGAAGAUCUGACGGUACUUGAGGAAUAAGCCACGGCUAAUUCCGUGCCAGCAGCCGCGGUAAUACGGGAGUGGCAAGCGUUAUCCGGAAUUAUUGGGCGUAAAGCGUCCGCAGGCGGUUUUUCAAGUGUGAUAUUAAAGCCGGCAGCUCAACUGUCGUUUGGUGUCGCAAACUGUCAAACUAGAGGCUUAGAGAGGUGCGUGGAAUUCUGCAUGUAGGGGUAAAAUCCGUAGAUAUGCAGAGGAACACCAAAAGCGAAAGCAGCGCACUGGAUAAGUUCUGACGCUCAUGGACGAAAGCGUGGGGAGCAAACAGGAUUAGAUACCCCAGUAGUC
RNAcentral lists this ribosomal RNA (422 nucleotides) under uncultured cyanobacterium. Its description in RNAcentral is "bacterial SSU rRNA". It matches the Rfam family "Bacterial small subunit ribosomal RNA", at positions 358 to 795 of the family's 1533-position model. Lineage: Bacteria; Bacillati; Cyanobacteriota. The record is from RNAcentral.